UCUAGCAGAUGAGCGCGGAGCACGCUCCAA
RNAcentral lists this small RNA (30 nucleotides) under Bombyx mori (domestic silkworm). Its description in RNAcentral is "ovarian small RNA-29486". The record is from RNAcentral. Lineage: Eukaryota; Metazoa; Arthropoda; Insecta; Lepidoptera; Bombycidae.